CUGAGUUCAUGCCCUUACGGGUAGAUCUCCCACCCUUGAAUAUCUAAACCUUUGUUGCUUUGGCGGGCCGCUUCGGCUACCGGCUCCGGCUGGUGAGUGCCCGCCAGAGAACCUUAAACUCUGAAUUACAGUGUCGUCUGAGCACUAUAAAAUAGUUA
RNAcentral lists this unclassified non-coding RNA (158 nucleotides) under soil metagenome. Its description in RNAcentral is "partial internal transcribed spacer 1". The record is from RNAcentral.